This 769-nucleotide long non-coding RNA is filed under the name Gallus gallus (chicken). Its description in RNAcentral is "long non-coding RNA NONGGAT008578". Lineage: Eukaryota; Metazoa; Chordata; Aves; Galliformes; Phasianidae. The record is from RNAcentral.
GGGGGGGGGGGUGUGCAGAGAUUGGGGAAAAAAAAGCAAAUGCUUGGCAGAUGGAAAGAACAAAAAACUGGUAUAAGAAACAGAAGCAGGUUCCUAUCAGAACCAUCUUCUGCAAUUUCAUCAUACUGUUAUAGAAAUGGCGUAGCCCCUGAGGAGUUAGAAAUCACCCAAGAGUUUCAAAGCAGCAAGAACCCAGCCCUCCCUUGCCACUCCACAGAAGGAAGAGCUCCAAACACUUCCUGGUAUCUCUCAUACAGGACUUGGACUUUCCCUGUGAAGUCCCGUCCAUCACAGGACUUUCUCUGGGAAAAUCCAGCAUCAACUCUCUUGGAAGCAGCAGUGGAAGUAAAUGUGCAAAUGCUCGGCAAUCCUCCCACCCAAAGCCUCCCAUGGGAGUCAAGGGGGAAGCAAGGCUCCUAGUACAUCCACAUAAAAACAGAACCAAGAAUCUGCUGACAAAUUGUAAAUACAGGUUACUGAGACUGGGGAUUUCAAAGAGAAAAAGAAUCCAGUCAGGAGGAAGACCACCAUCUUUCCUUACUGACUUACCAUCAGUAUCACUUCCUAAAGCACUGCUCUAACCAGUAACAUUGCCUCAUCCCUUGCUUUCACCAUUUAUAUAGUGGAGCAGACAAACUCCUCAGAUUUUAUGAACAACUGAAGAUUCCUUCCACUGGAAGAUGAAUCUUUCAUUGUUAUUUCUUCCUGACUACCACAAAUAUAUCAAUUUCAGUUUGAGCAAAGAUGGAAAUAAAAUAUAAUAGAUCUG